Molecule: ribosomal RNA, 521 nt
Filed under: Diaphorus oculatus
Lineage: Eukaryota; Metazoa; Arthropoda; Insecta; Diptera; Dolichopodidae
Description: partial 16S ribosomal RNA
Rfam family: Bacterial large subunit ribosomal RNA (bases 397-521)
Source: RNAcentral
GUCUUUUUGAUAUUUAAUAAAAAGUCUAAUCUGCUCUAUGAAUAAAUUUUAAAUGGCCGCAGUAUUUUAACUGUGCAAAGGUAGCAUAAUCAUUAGUUUUUUAAUUGAGGACUUGUAUGAAUGAUUGGACGAAAUAUAAGCUGUCUCAUUUUAAUUUUUUUUUAGAAUUUUAUUUUUUAGUUAAAAAGCUAAAAUGGAUUUAAAAGACGAGAAGACCCUAUAGAUCUUUAUAUUAGUUAUAUUUUAAUUUUUUAGAAUGAUUAUUUUAGAAUAUAUUAUAAUAUUUUGUUGGGGUGACAUUAGAAUUUAAAUAACUUCUAAUUAUUAUGAAACAAAAAUUAUUGAUUAUUUUUUUUUGAUCCUUUAUUAUUGAUAAAAAAAUUAAGUUACCUUAGGGAUAACAGCGUAAUUAUUUUGGAGAGUUCUUAUCGAUAAAAUAGAUUGCGACCUCGAUGUUGGAUUAAGAUUAAUUCAGGGUGUAGCAUUUCAGAAUAUUAAGUCUGUUCGACUUUUAAAUUCUU